GCAGGACCUCAGGGAGAAAAUUUCCCAGUCCGUGACAUAGGGGAGAGAAAAGAAAAGAAGGUGGAAGAGAGAAAAGAGAAAGAAGGCAGGUAAACAAAGUCAAGGCCUUCUGGAGGAGUUUGGAGUCCUGGAGUGGAGGGAAAGGGAAAAUUCUGGAAGGAUUUCAGAUAAAACCCAAUGUACUGGAAACCUCAUAUUUCAGGUAUCCUAUUUCACUGUGAAUGGACUGUGAAGGAGGGCAGGGAUAGAGUGCUCAGAAUGAAGUAAAGAGACGGCAGGUGAGUUCAAAGAGAACAACUGCAUGGAAAUGUGCUCCGGUACCAAAACCCUUAGCAUUUCAUAUAGCACUGAUUUUCUUGAAAACACUCAAGAAGUUCUCAGAAGUCACAUGAAGCAAAGCUGAGCGGUUGACUUUGAAACAGUGGUUGGAUUGUACUCUAAACACUUAACACCUCAGAUCAGCUGCACAAUGGCAUAGGAUACUACUUCCAGACAAAGGGUAAGGAAAAAAUGCAUACAUUUGCAGUCUCAACAGAAAUAUAGGAAUACAUUUUUUUCAGUUUCGUUUUACACACAUAGACACAAUCAAACUGAAAUCCACAAGGACAGAAUAUAAGUCAUUAUAUAAUUAUUUUCAUUUGUAUUACAUGAUGAGUUUCACGAUACAUGGAUUAUCUGUUUUAAUGCAUCAGACAGUUUGGAACCACGUAAAGCAGUAAAAUAUAAAAUAAUAUAACAGUUACGUUAAAGUCAGGAAUGUUACAUGGCCAGUACAUCCAAUAUGACACUGAAAGACAGUCAAAGCAUGAGACACGGUAGGUAUCUUUCAUUUCUAAACAAUAAGCAGCUUUGGAGAAAGGACUGUAGGACAAGAAGGGGAGGUAGUUACUUCUGAAAAUUCAAAAACAUCUUACCAGAAAUUUUAUAAAACAAAUUAUUUUUCAGAGGUAUCUUUGCC
Long non-coding RNA from Lutra lutra (Eurasian river otter), 958 nucleotides. RefSeq lists it as uncharacterized. The record is from RefSeq and is a predicted model, not a curated record. The transcript has 3 exons. NCBI's taxonomy places the organism in Eukaryota, Metazoa, Chordata, Mammalia, Carnivora, Mustelidae.